RNAcentral lists this ribosomal RNA (281 nucleotides) under uncultured soil bacterium. RNAcentral describes it as "partial 16S ribosomal RNA". It matches the Rfam family "Bacterial small subunit ribosomal RNA", at positions 26 to 286 of the family's 1533-position model. The record is from RNAcentral.
AGAAUCAACGCUGGCGGCGUGCCUCAGACAUGCAAGUCGAACGCGAAAGAGGGCUUCGGCCUUCGAGUAGAGUGGCGCACGGGUGAGUAAGACGUAGGUAAUUUACCUUUGGGUGUGGAAUAGCGGCUGGAAACGGCCAUUAAUACCGCAUAACGCAGCGGCAUCCUAGGAUGACAGUUGUUAAAGCGGGGGCGGGAGCAAUCCCUCUCGCGCCAGAAGAGAAGCCUACGGCGGAUUAGCUAGUUGGUGAGGUAAUGGCUCACCAAGGCCGUGAUCCGGUA